This 1216-nucleotide long non-coding RNA is filed under the name Mytilus galloprovincialis (Mediterranean mussel). The record is from RNAcentral. Lineage: Eukaryota; Metazoa; Mollusca; Bivalvia; Mytilida; Mytilidae.
GGUAAAAUAACACGAACAACAUAUUCAGUGGAAAAUUAAAAACGAAAAGUCCCUAAUCAAAUGGCAUAACCAAAUGCUCAAACACAUUGAACGAAUGUGGCAAUAUAUACAGUUCAAUAGCAAAAUAUAAUUUCUAAAACAGUAGCAUGACUUAAUCUAUCCAAUUCCACAGUGGCGGAUUUACCGGGGGGGCACAAGGGGCACGUGCCCCCCCGGUUCAGGUCAACAAUUUUUUUUUCUAACAUAAUUUUAUUGAUACUGAAACUUCUUAUCUAGUGCGGAAAUUGUCACAGCUUGAUUAGGCUUCUUAAACUGGCCGUUAAUUAAUACCAGCGUCCCCAUGCGUGAUUUAUGACAACUUAUCGGUGGGUGUGUAAAUAUUGACACCUGUGUGUAAUAUGUCUAUGCAAAAGAUUUUAUGUAAAAUAGAUCAAAAUACAUUUACAUUAUGAUUGGAAUAGUACAAAAUUGUAUUGGUUUAUAAUACAAUACCGAUUAAGAUCGAUUACCAGGUGAAACGUCUGAUCUGUGUUUUUGAAGAAAAGGUACAAACAUUUCCUGUAAAUGUACUUUUUUUCCAAAACUUUCUUUUUUUGAAUUUAUUUAGCAACAAAUUAAACUAUUUAUUUUUUGAUAACUUAGAAGAUAUGUUUUUUUUUUUUUUAAAUAAUAUCAUAUUUCAUUCCCCUCUUAUGGAAGGGAAAUCAACAAAAAAAUUUACUCCCCCUCCCCUUUACCCUAAUGCUUUCCCUCGUCCAGGAAAAAUAAAUUGACAUUUCCUAUUAAAUAAUCAUUAAUAAAAUGCUACUUGAUUUUCGUUAAAAUUUAGUUUGUAACAGAAUCUUGGACUUAAACAUUUCUCUAAAAGCUGAAGCAUGCAGUUAUAUUUGUUUUUAUUGGUCUUGUUUCAAUUACCAUGCAUGUACAUGGACGAGGCUAUGCAAAAGGUCACCAUUUAUGAAGAUAUAAAGGUGUUUUGCAGAUAUUCGAAUAAUGUGCAAAAAAGUAUAAGUCGGGGCCAAAAAAUAUAGAUAACAGAAUAUAGAGUUGAUGAAAUAUAAAGAAAAUAUUGUUUUAAUUGUUGCAUGGUUGUUAAACGUCCAGUGGCAAAUAUUUGAUGCAUGUUUAGGUCGAAUAUAAUAAAGAUCAAUUGGCAAUAAAGUGCAAAAGUAAAAAACUUAAAACAUAUCGAAAUACAGAAAUAAUGAUUUGACAC